RNAcentral lists this ribosomal RNA (465 nucleotides) under uncultured bacterium. Its description in RNAcentral is "partial 16S ribosomal RNA". It matches the Rfam family "Bacterial small subunit ribosomal RNA", at positions 338 to 795 of the family's 1533-position model. The record is from RNAcentral.
CCUACGGGAGGCAGCAGUGGGGAAUUUUGGACAAUGGGCGCAAGCCUGAUCCAGCUAUUCCGCGUGUGGGAAGACGGCCUUCUGGUUGUAAACCACUUUUUUAGAGAACGAAAAGUCUAUUGAUAAUACCGAUAUGUGAUUACGGUACGCUAAGAAUUAGCACCGGCUAACUACGUGCCAGCAGCCGCGGUAAUACGUAGGGUGCGAGCGUUAAUCGGAUUUAUUGGGCGUAAAGGGUGUGCAGGCGGUUUUGCAAGAUGGAUGUGAAAGCCCCGGGCUUAACCUGGGAAAGCCAGACAUGACUGGAAGACUAGAGUGCGUCAGAGGGGGGUGGAAUUCCAAGUGUAGCAGUGAAAUGCGUAGAUAUUUGGAAGAACACCGAUGGCGAAGGCAGCCCCCUGGGACGCAACUGACGCUCAUACACGAAAGCGUGGGGAGCAAACAGGAUUAGAUACCCGGGUAGUC